This is a small nuclear RNA of Cercocebus atys (sooty mangabey), 107 nucleotides long. Lineage: Eukaryota; Metazoa; Chordata; Mammalia; Primates; Cercopithecidae. The record is from Ensembl.
GCGCUCAUUUUGGCAGCAUAUAUCCUAAAACUGCAACAAUAUAGGGAAGAUUCCAUGGCCCCCGUGCAAAGAUGCACAGUUGUCUUGCUGUAUCUUCACAAACUUGU